UGCAAGUCGAACGAUGAAGCCCAGCUUGCUGGGUGGAUUAGUGGCGAACGGGUGAGUAACACGUGAGUAACCUGCCCUUGACUCUAGGAUAAGCCCGGGAAACUGGGUCUAAUACUGGAUAGGAACGUCUACCGCAUGGUGGAUGUUGGAAAGAAUUUCGGUCAUGGAUGGACUCGCGGCCUAUCAGCUUGUUGGUGAGGUAAUGGCUCACCAAGGCGACGACGGGUAGCCGGCCUGAGAGGGUGACCGGCCACACUGGGACUGAGACACGGCCCAGACUCCUACGGGAGGCAGCAGUGGGGAAUAUUGCACAAUGGGCGAAAGCCUGAUGCAGCGACGCCGCGUGAGGGAUGACGGCCUUCGGGUUGUAAACCUCUUUCAGUAGGGAAGAAGCGAAAGUGACGGUACCUGCAGAAGAAGCACCGGCUAACUACGUGCCAGCAGCCGCGGUAAUACGUAGGGUGCGAGCGUUAUCCGGAAUUAUUGGGCGUAAAGAGCUCGUAGGCGGUUUGUCGCGUCUGUCGUGAAAGUCCGGGGCUUAACCCCGGAUCUGCGGUGGGUACGGGCAGACUAGAGUGCAGUAGGGGAGACUGGAAUUCCUGGUGUAGCGGUGGAAUGCGCAGAUAUCAGGAGGAACACCGAUGGCGAAGGCAGGUCUCUGGGCUGUAACUGACGCUGAGGAGCGAAAGCAUGGGGAGCGAACAGGAUUAGAUACCCUGGUAGUCCAUGCCGUAAACGUUGGGCACUAGGUGUGGGGAACAUUCCACGUUUUCCGCGCCGCAGCUAACGCAUUAAGUGCC
This 800-nucleotide ribosomal RNA is filed under the name Micrococcus luteus. Its description in RNAcentral is "bacterial SSU rRNA". It matches the Rfam family "Bacterial small subunit ribosomal RNA", at positions 56 to 868 of the family's 1533-position model. Lineage: Bacteria; Bacillati; Actinomycetota; Actinomycetes; Micrococcales; Micrococcaceae. The record is from RNAcentral.